GAAGGAUCAUUAGUGAUUUGAGCUCCGGCUCUUCAUUUUCCAAACACCUGUGCACCGUGGUCUCCGGACCUACAAACAAUAGUGUAACGAACGUAAUAAAUUAUAAUCAAUAAAACUUUUAACAACGGAUCUCUUGGCUCUCGCAUCGAUGAAGAACGCAGCGAAAUGCGAUAAGUAAUGUGAAUUGCAGAAUUCAGUGAAUCAUCGAAUCUUUGAACGCACCUUGCGCCCUUUGGUAUUCCGAAGGGCAUGCCUGUUUGAGUGUCAUGAAAUCAUCAAUCUCUAAGGUUUCUUAUUGAUUGGAUUUGGGCGUUGCCACUGGCUCGCCUUAAAAGUGUUAGCGACACGGAUGUGAAAUCUAGCGUAAUAAGUUUCGUUAGACAGCAACUGACGUUCGCUUCUAAUCGUCUUCGGACAAUCUUUUGACUCUGACCUCAAAUCAGGUAGGACUACCCGCUGAACUUAAGCAU
RNAcentral lists this ribosomal RNA (470 nucleotides) under Cryptococcus sp. 46HGKG. RNAcentral's name for it is "eukaryotic LSU rRNA". The stretch from base 114 to 267 matches the Rfam family "5.8S ribosomal RNA". The record is from RNAcentral. Lineage: Eukaryota; Fungi; Basidiomycota; Tremellomycetes; Tremellales; Cryptococcaceae.